This is a non-coding RNA of Schistosoma mansoni, 45 nucleotides long. NCBI's taxonomy places the organism in Eukaryota, Metazoa, Platyhelminthes, Trematoda, Strigeidida, Schistosomatidae. The record is from Rfam.
AUCCAGCUGGCGAGUCCCAAAUGGAACGAGACGCACGUUCUGGAU